UGAGUCAGCCAGGCGGCCGCGUCGGGACCUCCGGGUCCUGCCGAGGAACGUCCGGGCUCCGUAGGGCAGGGUGGUGGGUAACGCCCACCCGGGGUGACCCGCGGGACAGUGCCACAGAGAACAGACCGCCACGUCGGACCGGUCCGCCGGGCCGGCGGGGUAAGGGUGAAACGGUGGUGCAAGAGACCACCAGCGCACCGGGUGACCGGUGCGGCUAGGUAAACCCCACCCGGAGCAAGGCCAGACAGGGAGCGUUCGAGGGUUGCCCGCCCGAGCUCCCGGGUAGGCCGCUGGAGGCGUGCGGCAACGUACGUCGUAGAUGGAUGGUCGCCACCCGUGCGCCGGGCAACCGCGCACGGGGACAGAACCCGGCGUACCGGCUGGCUCAUCCG
Molecule: non-coding RNA, 392 nt
Organism: Cellulomonas flavigena DSM 20109
Lineage: Bacteria; Bacillati; Actinomycetota; Actinomycetes; Micrococcales; Cellulomonadaceae
Rfam family: Bacterial RNase P class A
About the family: Ribonuclease P (RNase P) is a ubiquitous endoribonuclease, found in archaea, bacteria and eukarya as well as chloroplasts and mitochondria.
Source: Rfam